UCCGUAGGUGAACCUGCGGAGGGAUCAUUACACAAUAACAAGGCGGGUUGGACACCCCCCGCUGGGCACUGCUUCACGGCGUGCGCGGCGGGGCCGGCCCUGCUGAAUUAUUCACCCGUGUCUUUUGCGUACUUCUUGUUUCCUGGGUGGGCUCGCCCGCCCUCAGGACCAACCACAAACCUUUUGCAAUAGCAAUCAGCGUCAGUAACAACGUAAUUAAUUACAACUUUCAACAACGGAUCUCUUGGUUCUGGCAUCGAUGAAGAACGCAGCGAAAUGCGAUACGUAGUGUGAAUUGCAGAAUUCAGUGAAUCAUCGAAUCUUUGAACGCACAUUGCGCCCUUUGGUAUUCCAAAGGGCAUGCCUGUUCGAGCGUCAUUUGUACCCUCAAGCUUUGCUUGGUGUUGGGCGUCUUUUGUCUCCAGUUCGCUGGAGACUCGCCUUAAAGUCAUUGGCAGCCGGCCUACUGGUUUCGGAGCGCAGCACAAGUCGCGCUCUUCGCCAGCCAAGGUCAGCGUCCAGCAAGCCUUUUUUUCAACCUUGACCUCGGAUCA
RNAcentral lists this small RNA (554 nucleotides) under Alternaria infectoria. Its description in RNAcentral is "eukaryotic LSU rRNA". The stretch from base 225 to 378 matches the Rfam family "5.8S ribosomal RNA". Lineage: Eukaryota; Fungi; Ascomycota; Dothideomycetes; Pleosporales; Pleosporaceae. The record is from RNAcentral.